UAGGUGAGUUGCAGGGUAGAGGCUGGAGGUGUAAAGGGUCCACAGUAGAUGCAGAUAUUCCCUGCAUGGCUGGUGUAGCCUACAUUGCCACCAGCUUCUGGGAGAGGGAGUAGAGGGUUUUGUGUACUCCUCCAUGGCAGUUGCGGAAGGGGGUUAAGGUCACCUUCAUUGCCACCACCCCCCUUGCCAAAAUAGUGUGUAUAUCGUCACUAUUUGAGACCAAAAUGUCUCCAUCCUCUUGAGGAGAUGUAUUAUGGGCAGCUAACAGGAAGAAGGGAGCUGAACUGGUGUCAUUUGGCUUCCUUUGGGAUCCAGUGAUUGUGACCCACAGCAGUUCAUUGGUGGUGGUUUUUCCAUUUGUAGAUAUGACCUCUCUGGGUUUGGAGGUGGAGUGAGACUAUCUGAUUCACAAGAUGCUGAGAUAGAACACAUCCUACUUUGAAGAAGCCAAAUCCAGGUUUAUGCUGACCUGGCACUGCUUCACCCAGCAUUCCAGAUGCAAAUGCAGAGAAUGGAGAGCCUGCGAGCAACCGGAUGACUGUAGUUUGGAAAUAAAUAGCUCUGGAGCCCGGAUGCUCCUAAAGGAAGCCCGUAUCCGCUCAACUUGGUGGAUGCUGAAGUGCUGGGAGUCGUGAACUGGUGGCUGAAACAGCAACUUGGUCUCCCAACCUUGAUGCCUUAAGAAGGUUCACAGAAAAUGGCCGUCAGCAUUCUUACAGAGUCACUAAGAAGACAAAAUUGGAGCAUCAAAGCCAUCCAGGAAGUGAAAAUGCUCCAGCCUGGGUCAUACACAAAAAGCAGGAGAAAACUUUAACAUGCAUCCUGGCUGAAUCAGUGUCUAAAAGCAGCAUUUGAAAAUAUGAAACAAAAACUUUAAAUCAUAAGUUGCAAAGCUCAGAACAAAAAUACCCCCCAACAUCCUUAUAUACUCAAGAAAAACAUGCAAUAAGAAUUGAAUAAACUCUGGAAAGCAAUAGAAGGAAAAAAUAAAUAAAAUAAAUAAAAAUAAAUGCUAUCUUAGUACCCAUAAGACCCCAAAUAUUAUUGGAUAUGAGGAACGUGAGAGAGAUUAACAGAAUGGAGAUAAAGCAAAGGUGGGAACAAAAGUCAUAUGGAGACCACGUGUUAGACAUCAGACCCAGAAGUGUCUAAAGCAGAAAACACACAAUGAGAAAUAACACGUACCUAAAACUACAGGCUACAGUGAAUGUCUAUCAGGAAAUGAGGAUCUGAAGCUCCGUCUUUAAGGAUUCACAGUACACUUGCAAAA
RNAcentral lists this long non-coding RNA (1270 nucleotides) under Mus caroli (Ryukyu mouse). Its description in RNAcentral is "predicted gene 29183 (MGP_CAROLIEiJ_G0004415.1)". The record is from RNAcentral. Lineage: Eukaryota; Metazoa; Chordata; Mammalia; Rodentia; Muridae.